UCCGGAGGGUGCAAGCGUUGUCCGGAUUUAUUGGUUUUAAAGGGUGCGUAGGUGGCUAUUUAAGUCAGUGGUGAGAGCCUGCAGCUUAACUGUAGGACUGCCAUUGAUACUGAAUAGCUUGAGUACUGAUGAGGUAGGCGGAAUUGAUAGUGUAGCGGUGAAAUGCAUAGAUAUUAUCAAGAACACCGAUUGCGAAGGCAGCUUACUAAGGAGUUACUGACACUGAGGCACGAAAGCGUGGGGAUCAAACAGG
This 253-nucleotide ribosomal RNA is filed under the name uncultured bacterium. RNAcentral's name for it is "partial 16S ribosomal RNA". It matches the Rfam family "Bacterial small subunit ribosomal RNA", at positions 524 to 776 of the family's 1533-position model. The record is from RNAcentral.